GCUGGACACGACGACGCCCUACUCCUUCGACAACGCCUACUACAGCAACCUGCUGUCCAACAAGGGGCUCCUGCACUCCGACCAGGUGCUCUUCAACGGCAACAGCACGGACAACACGGUCAGGAACUUCGCCUCCAACAGGGCGGCGUUCAGCAGCGCCUUCUCGUCGGCCAUGGUGAAGAUGGCCAACCUCGGACCACUCACCGGGAGCCAGGGACAGAUCAGGCUUAGCUGCUCCAAAGUGAACUAAUAAUUAAGUAAAGAAUCAAACUGGAUACAAAAGCAAACACAAAUUUGGGAAUAAGGCUGGGCCAUAUAUGUCACAGUAGUAGUAUUUUACUAGUCUGAAAUGUUUGCUAAGAGUGUUUUCUCUGAUCAGCACAAAGUGUUUGAAACAGAUCAGGAAGCCCAUGUUAUGUACCGAUCAGUAUGGUUUUGAAGUUAUCAAGGAAUGCAUGAAUGAUAAUCUCUAACUGUCCCUUGCUUCAAUAUGUUUGGCUGCUAGGGGCAUUUUAGUUUGAUGCCCUCAAUCUUAAUGACAUUCGGAUGGCCCUUUCUUCGGCCAUCCUGGCCAAAAAAUAAUUAAAAAAAGGUUUAACGCCUAUCAAAAUACUAAUAGUCACAAAUGAAGACACAUGAUAGAAAUAGCACAAUUUUCAAUGUACAAGGUGUAUACAUAUUACACUGCACCAUCCUAGGAAAAUAUACAGUGAAAACCACCUAUUUGAUGAAAACUAUCGUAUAAAAGUCUUUAAGAAAAUCACAUAUCUAGAUAAGAUGAUAUUAAAGAACCAUAUAAAAUUGCACGACCAAAUUCAACUUCGUUCAUGAGAUAUAAAAUUAUCAAAUGUCUAUGAAAAAACAUAAUUCCUAUUUUUUUGUCUUGUUCUUCACUACUUUUCAUUCAUACAACUCAUAAAUAAAGUCGAGUUUGGUCUUGCAAUAUUGUACAAAACCUCCGUUUUUUAAUAGAUAACGCCGGUGGCUUUUUAUCACACGUUUGAGCAUUCGCCUUUAUUUUAAAAAAAUUAUGUUAUUAUAAUUUAUUUUGUUGUGAGUUGUUUUAUCACUCAAAUUACUUUAAGCAUGAUUUAUAUAUUAUACAUUUGCAUAAAAUUUUUGAAUAAUACGAAUGGUCAAAUAUGUGUUCAAAAGUUAACGGCGUCAUCUAUUAAAAAGGAGUAUAAUUCUCAAAUAUCAUCUUAUCUAUAUGUGUCAAUUUUUUUUAGAUUUUCUUGAUAAUUUUUAUGAUGUUACUUACAUAGUUUUUACCGUUGUGAUUUUCACCGUAUAUUUAUCCAUAAACCAGAGCCGUUGUGCCUAAGCAUAUAGGUCAAACUAGAGAUGAUCCAGAAUAAAGCCUAGACAGUUGAGGCAACAACUGGUGGUCAUUUUCCUUGGACUGGGAGAGCAAAAUGGUUGCAUAACGGUCAGAGCAAGAUAGAAUUGUAUUUGGACAAAUGCGGACCUUUUGUACGUAAUCAGUCAUGAUCAUGAUGGACCUACAUGUUGAUGUCCAGCUAGCUACACGAAAAUGACGUGCCAUUAUAUAGCUGCUGUUAUAUAUUACUCUAUUAAUUACUCCAUAAUUAAUCAUACUCGCCUACUAGCAUGGCUCUUUCCGAUCCAGAGCUUAUUUAAUUUGUCUGUUCUAGCUCAUCCAUGAUAUAAUAUGUAGUAUACUAUAAGUAACCAAAAUGUAUCACCAAACAUACCUAGAUUAGCAAUUUAGUGUAUCAAGGAAAAUUUAGCACGUCUCUGUGCCUUCAGUCUUCAGUAUCAUGAGAUACCAAAUUUACACUAAAAUUUGAUAUUUCUUGAUAUCUAUUAGGGACGAAAAUUUCUCGUCUCGAAUAUUAAAAAAUUUGGUACCUCUCAAAAACUAUAAAAUUUCUUGUCUUCAAUAUCACCAUAUUUAGCGAUUAAUCAACUUUUUUUAAUCAUCCGCAUAUUACACUCGACGAUGAUUUUUUUAAAAAAAUCUUGUGGGACUUUGUUUAUGUUUUGUUGCAAUUUUUUAUGUUCUACUUAUCCAAUAUAAACCUUGUCACUAUUUGUGUAUAACUGCAAGUGUUGGAAGUUAUAUUUUAAGUUAAUGUCAAGUUAUGGCUUUCAAUUGAAAAACAACACUAAUAUAUUCUGAUUUUGUUGUUGUAUACAUUUAAAUCUCAAAAGAAGGCCAUAAUAUUGUAAGAUGUGCACAUAUAUAUUCAUGAACGCCAAAUUUCCGUAUAAUUCUGACUAACAAUCAUAUUUCGUCUUUCACAGUACUGAUUGUAUGUAUUAUAUAGUGCUAUGUGUGCGUGUGCGUCUUCUGAUGAGCCUAGAAAGGCAACUUGCCAAGGGGAUUGAGCCAUAAUUUGCGGGAUGCAUGUAUAAUGUAUUCCAGCUUAUCAUGCCAUGGCGCACCAGGAAGAAAAAUCUGCCGUCCGACGCAUGCCGCCUGUUUAUCUUGACCAACAACAGCACAAUGGGCUAAUUAAUCAGCAACCAUUCCGAAUCAUACAUAUAUCAUAUUCAUGCUGCAAAUAUUGUAUACGUCCGGAGAGAGAUGUAUCGAACAGGCCCUACACUGAAUGAGUGAUAUACAGAGUUGGUGUUGGAUGUAGCAAUUUAAGUCUGACGCUAUCACAACUGCCGGAUGGGGGCAUGUAUGCAGAUGACGAAACUUCUAUUGUUCAGGUUGAACGUCUUGUACGUACGCUUGUAUGCCAAUGUGGACAAGUUGGACUUGGUGGUCACAAAGUUUGGAUGUUUAUAUCCCUACAAGAGUGGCAUGCUCGUGGCAGCGUACAAAAUCUCUGGCUAUAAAUAUGCAUGCAAUGCAGCAAUCUCUUGCAAGCCACAACGGCCAAGCAGAAAGUGCAAUUAGCCUGCAGGCAGCUAAUCAGUAGUAGCUUGCUAGCCAUGGCUUCUGCAACUAAUUCUUCACUUAGCUUAAUGCUGCUGGUGGCUGCAGCUAUGGCGUCAGUGGCAUCGGCGCAGCUCUCGGCGACGUUCUAUGACACGUCGUGCCCCAAUGCGUUGUCCACCAUCAAGAGCGUCAUAACAGCCGCCGUGAACAGCGAGGCUCGCAUGGGGGCGUCGCUGCUCAGGCUGCACUUCCACGACUGCUUCGUCCAAGCAAGUUUCACACAACCAAUUGUACUAAUUUUCAUGAAAUUAUAGUAUAUUUCGGACGAGAAAAUAACAGAGAACAUAUAUCUAAAAUCACUGCAGGGGUGCGACGCGUCAGUUCUGCUGUCCGGGCAGGAGCAGAAUGCUGGCCCGAACGUGGGGUCGCUGAGGGGAUUCAGCGUCAUCGACAACGCCAAGGCGCGGGUGGAGGCCAUCUGCAACCAGACCGUCUCCUGCGCCGACAUCCUCGCCGUCGCCGCCCGUGACUCCGUCGUCGCGGUAAGAAUGUCACAGCCCUUCGAUCGCCCGUGACUUUCUUUCUGUUGUUCUUUCACUGAUAGAGCUAGCUCCCUCUUGGUUCGCAGCUGGGAGGGCCAUCAUGGACGGUUCUGUUGGGGAGAAGGGACUCCACCACUGCAAGCGAGGCCUUGGCAAAUACCGACCUCCCUGCCCCUUCCUCUAGCCUCGCAGAACUUAUCGGCAAUUUCUCCAGAAAGGGACUCGACGCAACCGACAUGGUUGCUCUCUCAGGUAAUCCGAUAUGGAGUAUUAUAUACGAGUAUAUAUAUAGAUAGAUUAGGAUACCAUGUAUAUAUGUGUUGCAGAUUUUCUGAUAAGAUGAGAGCGCGAUUAAUUAUUUCGCAGGAGCACACACGAUCGGGCAGGCGCAGUGCCAGAAUUUCAGGGACAGGAUCUACAACGAGACCAACAUCGAUUCCGCCUUCGCGACGCAACGCCAGGCCAACUGCCCACGGCCGACGGGCAGCGGCGACAGCAACCUGGCGCCGCUGGACACGACGACGCCCAACGCCUUCGACAACGCCUACUACAGCAACCUGCUGUCCAACAAGGGGCUCCUGCACUCCGACCAGGUGCUCUUCAACGGCGGCAGCGCGGACAACACGGUCAGGAACUUCGCGUCCAACGCGGCGGCGUUCAGCAGCGCCUUCACGACGGCCAUGGUGAAGAUGGGGAACAUCUCGCCGCUGACCGGGACGCAGGGGCAGAUCAGGCUCAGCUGCUCCAAGGUGAACUCCUAAUUAAGGAGUAGUAUGACGGGAUGCGUUCGUUGCUGGAAGCAAAUCGUGUCGACGACGACAUAAACGGGCCACACCACAUAUACCCAUAUAUGUAGUAUAACCACAAGUAUAGGUACGGUGGUGUUGUACUAGUACACGUAAAGUAUAUGGCAGCCAGCUCGCUCUAGCAAUCCAUCAAGUGUAUGGAGCAGAGCAGCCAUGGCAUUAGCACCUAGUAUACCAAAAUAAAAGCUCCUCAUGCGAAGGCAUGCAUGGAGGAUUAAUGAACUGUUACCUUCACACACAUGUCCGUUCACAACUUCUCCAGACUUUUACGGUACAUCAAGCUCCGUUUUUUCAAGUAAACAACACUAGAUUAUGUUUUUUCAUUAGAUAGAGAAAAAAUAAAUACAACCUGCCCCUAGGAGCGAAAAAAAGAAGAAGAAAAAGCCCGUCUUUACAAAUUAUAUACUGAUAGGUAAUAACUCUCUAAGUCAUUUUGUUCCUGCCAUAGUCCAAGUCUUCUUCCUCUAUUUUUGCUAGGAGGGUUAUUGUCGUGGUCUCCUUGUUAGAAAUUUUGUUGGUUCCUCUCCUUCCGUAUCUUCUAGACGACAAGGAGAAUUAGGGAGCGCAAUCCCCGCUUUGGCAUAAAUGUCGUGUUUGGCACACACAUUGAUAGGGGUGGCUAACAAGCCGACUCGGCUCGACUCGUAAAAACUCAUUAAGUUAAUGAGCUAGCUUGGCUCGACUCGUUAACAUAACGAGUUAAAAAUGGAACUCGACUCGACUCAUUAAAAAGUCCGAGUUGACUCAUUAAACGUGUUACACCAAAAAACAUGGUUUGAAAUUCAUAUGCAAUAUAAUUUGUGAUUCUAUGACAAAAAUUAUGAUUGGCGUGCUAUGUAUCAUGGCUCAUAAGAUUGUACUACAAUGUAUAAUUAUGAGUAUAUGACUUUUACACCUGUAAAAUAUGAACAAUUAACUUCUAUCUUAGUGUAUCAUGAGCUCAACGAGCUAAUCGAGUAACUCACGAGCUAGCUCGAGUUGGCUCGUUAAGUAAACGAGUAAAAGUUCAAACUCAUUAACUACUCGAGUUAAGUCGAGCCGAGCCGAGUUUUACACAAGUUGAGCUAGCUCGUAAGUUCGAUUUUUUUUCCACCCCUGCACAUCGAGCUCUGUUUCGCUAUUGAUGUUGGUUGACACGGUGAACUUUGACUCUUUGAGUAUCAAUUAUCAAACGGUGUACUCCUACCGUCUUACGUGCCAUUGCCAUCCCGCGCGGCCGCACCGUCCCAAACUCCCACCGACGCAAGCAAGCGCCGCCCUUCCGCUUGGGCCGUUUUACGCCCGAAUGGUCCGAGACCUACCUAUUGGGCCUUUGGACCGUGUGACGCCACAUUUCGCUCGCAGUGUCUGUCAGACCAGGGAUGGUGGCCCGUGGGCGCUGAGCAGGCCGGCCUUUCAUUUAGUUCGUGUCACCUGUAGGCGGCUAGGCCGGAGGGAAACUAACGUACACUUUUGUUGUUAUUUAUAACUUUAUCGACUAUAAAUUUUGAUAAGCAACAAAUCAAACAUGCCAUAAUCAAUUAGGCAAAAUUCAGUAAUUUACCUUAGCAAAAUUUAGUAAUGGAAAAAUUAGGAAAAACUAAAGUUAUAUUCCCUCCUCCUCAAAAAGAAUACAAUUUUAGAUUUUAAAUUUAUUCCAACAUAUAACGUACUCUAUAGUAUUGCUUUUUCGUCCAACCACCACUCAUUCACCCAUAUAUUACUAACCUAGCUACUCCACCAUUCCCAACUGUCCCUCAUUUGAUGAGUGGUCGAGUAUUUUUCCUAUACUAUACUAGUUUGUCUUUUAAAUAUUACAAUUGUAUUUUUCUUUUUUAGAAUUGAGGUAGUAAAUUUGUAAACAAAGUGAACAGGCCACCAACCUACUAGGUGGACCACUGUACACGAUAAUAUUAUUUGUGCUAUUGUGUUUAUUUUAAUCUAAGUUGCAAAUCAAGAGAGUAUUUUAUUUCAUUCAAAAAGGAAUAAUUUGUGAAACACUCAGCAACUGUAUAAUAUUAGCCGUGAAACUCGGUUAACCAUAAUUUUUUUUCAAAGGAACUAUACGAUAAUUUAAUUAUUUUACUAUCCGCAUUUUAUGGCUUAAGAAACAAGAGUAACAUACGGCACAUGCAACAACCACCAUUCUAGCUAGAGCUAGAAAUGUCGGCCCAACUUGUGAUAGCUAAUUACGUUCGAAUGGAAAAUCAUAUCACCAACAUGCAUGGUUUAAUCAUGGCAACGCUGAUGCGAAAGCUCUCGCAGAUCUAUUAUUUUUUCCCUGGAGAUUGAUCGAAAAUGAUGGCACAACGGUAUGUAAUGCUAUAACAGCAUAUAUUGUCUUGUAACACACCGUUUGCACUUAAAUUAGACAAUUAGUCCGAACGUACAUAAGAAGAUGAAUUGCGAUAGACCAUUCUAGCUCGUCACGAGCUGAAUAGUUCUCGCACUAUUAUACCCGAGAUCAAUUAGCAGAGUAUUAAUAAGGUAAAGUUAUUUUCAUAAACUCUGUACGACGAUAGUGCAUACAUACCAAUCUUUAACAAAGGGACAAAUUAUCGACGGCAUUUGUAUGUUCAUGUGCUAUUCUAUGGCACGGGUGCUCUUUUUUUUUGGCUUAAGCAACGCGUGAUUAAUGGUUAACAGAUUAAGGUCAAGCGAAAUGGACCGAACUGACCCUACAUUGCAUGAAUAAUGCAGAGGUGAUGAUGUUGGCCGUAGGCCGUACGUAGAAACUUAUGUUGGACACACAUGUAAGUACUAGUAGUCUAGUAGCACUAAUAAAGUUAACUAAUAAAUUAUAUAUGAUGUCACUUUAAAAAAUACAGAUUCAAAUUCGAUAUAUUGAAGUUGAACAAAUUAAAUUCUAGCUAGUUAGUAUGCACACAUUCACACUCAUAUUUGUUUUUGUGUUGUAAUUUAUAGAAGUUAAAAUUCAACUUGCAAUUUGUUAGUAAAAACAUAACUAUUUAGAUGACUAGAAACAUAUCCUUCUGUUGUAAUGUGCCAGGCUCAUAUAAGUAGAAAUAUGCUAUUAGAAAAUUAGAGAUAGUACUCUGUGCGUGGUGGGAGGAGGGAUGAAAAAAUGACGAGUUCGAUUUUAAGGUAGUAGAGAUAUGUACAAAGCAAUAGGAUAUUCCUAUUGAGAUUAAAAUACAUUCCCCUGCCCAGCUCCCCUCGUAUGAUUAAUGUACCUGCAUAUUUCGUCUCAUCUCGGCACCAAUCGAUGGCGUCAAGCCUGUAGCUAAGCUAGCUAUAUAAGAUGCAGCGUGGCACCAGCCUCUCUUGCAAGCCACGGCCAGCGAAAAAGCUUAAAAAAAACUGCAGUUAUUUAGGUAGGAUUAAGCAUACGCGCACGGCGCAUCAUAUCGCUCACUCUGCAUGGCUUCGGCUUCUUCUGUCAGCUUAAUGCUGCUCGUGGCUGCAGCUAUGGCCUCAGCCGCCUCGGCGCAGCUGUCGGCGACGUUCUACGACACGUCGUGCCCAAACGCAUUGUCCACCAUCAAGAGCGCAGUGACGGCCGCCGUGAACAGCGAGCCCCGAAUGGGAGCCUCGCUGGUCAGGCUGCACUUCCACGACUGCUUCGUCCAAGCAAGUUUUGAUCACCUAAUCUAAUCAGCUGUACAAGUAGUUCUCCUUAGACUGUACUUUGAGACAAGGAAAUUAAUAACAGAGGAUGUAUCUAUGGACUUCACUGAUGAUGCAGGGCUGUGACGCGUCUGUUCUGCUGUCCGGCCAGGAGCAGAAUGCAGGCCCGAACGCUGGGUCACUUCGGGGAUUCAACGUCGUCGACAACAUCAAGACGCAGGUCGAGGCCAUCUGCAGCCAGACCGUCUCCUGCGCCGACAUCCUCGCCGUCGCCGCCCGUGACUCCGUCGUCGCGGUAAGAUCACGGAUGAGAUUACUACAUGAUGCAUAUAUUUCUUGUAGACUGUAGUAGUACGUACUCCUAAUCGCUCUUGGUUUGGUUUGGAAUCCUUAUAUUUGCAGCUCGGAGGGCCGUCGUGGACGGUUCUAUUGGGAAGAAGGGACUCCACCACUGCGAACGAAAGCCAAGCAAAUACCGACCUCCCUGCCCCUUCCUCUAGCCUCGCUGAACUUAUCGGCAAUUUCUCCAGAAAGGGACUCGACGUAACCGACAUGGUUGCUCUCUCAGGUACAUAUAUAUGUACACAGAUUAUAUCAGUGAUUGAUUCUCUUACAAAUUUUCUGAUAAGAAUCAUAAUACGAUGAGAACUUGCAGGCGCACACACGAUCGGGCAGGCGCAGUGCCAGAACUUCAGGGACAGGCUCUACAACGAGACAAACAUCGACUCCAGCUUCGCGACGGCGCUCAAGGCCAACUGCCCACGGCCGACGGGCAGCGGCGACAGCAACCUGGCGCCGCUGGACACGACGACGCCCAACGCCUUCGACAGCGCCUACUACACCAACCUGCUGUCCAACAAGGGCCUCCUGCACUCCGACCAGGUGCUCUUCAACGGCGGCAGCACGGACAACACGGUCAGGAACUUCUCCUCCAACACGGCGGCGUUCAACAGCGCCUUCACGGCGGCCAUGGUGAAGAUGGGGAACAUCUCGC
RNAcentral lists this long non-coding RNA (8763 nucleotides) under Oryza sativa (Asian cultivated rice). RNAcentral's name for it is "long non-coding RNA (OSAT_LNC001424)". The record is from RNAcentral. Lineage: Eukaryota; Viridiplantae; Streptophyta; Magnoliopsida; Poales; Poaceae.